Vidua chalybeata is the source of this 3092-nucleotide RNA transcript. It is a transcript of the gene named tandem C2 domains, nuclear, with no coding region annotated. The transcript is spliced from 13 exons. The record is from RefSeq and is a predicted model, not a curated record. Lineage: Eukaryota; Metazoa; Chordata; Aves; Passeriformes; Viduidae.
GCGAGCAGCGGCCGCGGGGAGCAGGAGCUGCCCCAGCGGAGGCGGCCGAGUUUCUGCGAUUCCUAUCGACUUUGGGAGAUGUAGGCAGGUCUGAUAGCUGCAUUGGAUCGCUGAUUGAGGUUCCCUCUAAAUUAUAACACUGAAAACAAUGGCAACAGAAUGUAUAAAAACCUGCUGUAAAUUGUGUUUCUGCAUGGACAAGGAAAAAAAUGAUCCAGUUUCCAUGGUGCAGGAAUCUGAAGCAGUAGCUGCAAGCAAGCCAACUAUUGUAGAGCAGCCUCCAUUGUCUUCUGUGUCAGUGAAGCGUCAAGUUGGCUGUUCUGAAGAUUAUUUGCUUUCCAAACUACCCCUGGAUGGUCAGGAGGUACCAUUUGUGGUCCCUCCAUUCAAACUGGCUUAUGUACAGCCAAAGAACCUUCCCAGUAUGUCACAUGCUGGAGGGAUUAAAGAGUCAGCCAGAGCCUCGUUUGGUGAGCGGAAGGCAGAGCUGCACGGCGCGUACCAGUGGCCUGGCUGUGACGUGUACAACCCCUUCUACCUGGAGCAUCGGGUUUCACCAGAUCUCAUCAGGCGCUUCCAAGCAAAAUCAAAUAGUAGGAAAUUGUAUGGAUCAGUUAGUGAUUUAAGACCCAGUGCUUUGCCUGGAUCCCUUGAUGUAAGUCGUUCGAUGUUUGAUCUCAGGAGCCCACCUCACCGAUAUAUGAAGAGAUAUGAUUCAGUCUCCAGUGUACCUAGCAGUUCCUCCUCCAGGAAGGAUUCGCAAGGCAGUAACAGGAGUCUGGAUACUAUUACAUUAUCAGGUGAUGAACGAGACUUUGGAAGACUGAAUGUGAAGUUGUGUUAUAUUUCUUCUGUAGAACAGAUUUGGAUCACAGUUUUACAUUGCAAAGACCUGAGCUGGCCUUCUAGCUGCGGGGAAAAUCCUCGUAUCUGUGUCAAGGGAAUUCUCACACUGCCCAAGCCAGUGCAUUUCAAAUCUUCUGCCAAGGAGGGCUGCAAUGACAUUGAAUUUAUGGAAACUUUUGUUUUUGCCAUUAAACUGCAAAGCCUGCAGGCUGUCAGAUUGGUAUUUAAAAUCCAGACACAGACUCCCAGGAAAAAAACUAUUGGAGAAUGUUCCUUGGCACUGCGGGAGCUGAGCUCACAGGAAUCCAAUCAUUGGCUGGAUAUAUCUCCUCCUUCCAAAGCACCUGUGUGCCGUGCAGAACUUCAAAUAGGAACUUGUUUUCAAGCAAUAAACAGGAGGAUACAGUUACAGAUUCUUGAAGCACAAAACCUUCCUGUUUCAUCCACGCCACUGUCUUCAAAUUUCUUUGUGAAAGUUGGAAUGUUUAGUACAGAAGGGAUCAUCUAUAAAAAGAAGACUCGCCUUCUGAAGUCCACUAAUGGCCAAGUGAAGUGGGGAGAAAUGAUGUUUUUUCCAGUUAGCCAAGCAGAACAAGGAAUUGGUUUUCUCAUCAAGCUCUACAGCAAAAGCUCAGUGAGAAGAAAACACUUCCUAGGACAGAUCUGGUUAAGUUCCGAUAGCAGCAACAGUGAAGCAGUAGAGCAGUGGAAAGAUACCAUUGCAAAUCCUGAAAAAGUUGUUGUUAAAUGGUACAGCAUUGGCCCAUCUUGAAGACUGGAGAAGAAAUUCAGAACUGAUUUUUUUACAGAAAUUCAUAUGCUAUCUAAAAUAGUAUAAAUUAAAAAUAAAGAUAUUGUCUGUGCAAGUUCUUCAGAAGUUCUCCACUGCAUCAUGCCUCUGUGGAAAUGAAAAAUUCAGUUUCACCAAGAUAAAUACUGGCUAAAUACUACUAAAAAGAAGACUUGGGAACUAGAAAAAGUCCUUGUUUGAUUUCACAAAAUCCAUCUUGAAAAAAAGAUGUUUGCCCCUUUUGGAUUUCAUAAAAGCACAAAAUUCAAUUUUGGGGAGAAGCAGCUUUAAUCAACUCUGUUUCACUAGCCACUGACAUCAUGCAUUGUUAUCUUUGGCAGACUCCAAAGUCCAGGGAAUGGGUCAUGUCAGUGGCUUGAUUCUGGGUACCUGUGAGCAUCUGGGGUUGUUGACACCAUUUGAUCAGAAUAACAUGUGCCUGAGCAAGUGGGGAAACUGUGGCAGCGGGAGAAGGUAUAAAGGGAAGUACACAAUAAGGCAGUACCCAUAGGCUUUUCUAAUCUCCGUUUUGGAUGAAGGAUUGUUCAGAAGGCUGUAGCUUGAGCUUGCCCCCAUCUUUUUCUCAAAACAGAGAGAUGGAAAGAUAAAAAUUCCUCUGACUUAGUGAUCUUUACAAGAGGAGCCCUCCGGACUUGCUCUGUUUGGGAACUAGAGCAGCAGUGACAGUACUCACUGCUGGAAGGCAAAAGAACAUGGGGAGCAGAGAAAAUGCUGUUACAGGAAGCACAUCCUCUUCAAGCAUACAGCUCAGAGCACCUUUACUUCAAGUUUUUUUUCUUUGAGUAUCAGGAAAAAAUGGAAUAGCUUAGAAUGCUUUUUUUUCAUCAGUUGAUAAUUGAAACUUUCAAAACUUCAGCCAUCCAGUUUGUUGUUGUUGAAAUUUAAUAUUUUGAAAACAGAAGGAUUUUUACAGACUUGUACAUAUUAUGCUUUUCAGCCAGUCAAUAUAAAAGAACUGAAAAAAAGUUUUGCAUGUUACUUGGAGAACAAACAUUGGUUCUAGCUCUUACUCUUUGCAAAGCUCCCAGUAGGCCCAGGGGAUUGACUGACACUGAUAAUUUUCAACCAGUUAAAACAGUUGGGAAGAGCCUGGCCUGCUGGGAAAAAUGAAAAAAUGAAGUGGGCUGAACUGAUAUUUUUGGAGUAUCUUUAUUUGAAUACAUGGAUCUUUUUUAUUCAUUGUGGCUGAACAUUUUAUUCAUUGUGGCAAUAAACAAAAGUGCAAACUAACUGUUUCCUGAUGCAGAAUGCUGUUUUGUUUAAAAGAGAGGACAGGGAAUAUCCCAGUGUUUUGUAGACUUCAAUUACCACAGCAGUGAUUCUAGAGAGCUUGCCAACUCAGUGGAUGCUGCAUAAAAAGGAUUUCUGGGACUCUUUUAGAAAAGACACUUACCCUUCUAAAGGCCUAACUAGUCUCUUUUUUGAUAUGCUAAUA